UGCAGCAGCAUCCAGAAAGCAGGGCUCAAACUAUCUUGACAGUUUGGGAUUUGCUUCCUUAACUGUAUGGAACAUGAAGACAUGGAGGGCUAUGACAGUUCUUCCUCUUGGUGAGGAUCCACCUGCAAUUACUUCCCUAUGCUUCAAUCACAAUGGGAAGAUUUUAGCAGCUGCUGCAACUGAUGGAAUGAUCCACAUGUUUGACAUGUCUGCUGGUCUACAAAUUACUGGGUGGCCUGCACAUGAUUCUGCGAUAAAUUCUAUUCUUUUUGGGCCAGAUGAGACUAGCAUUUUCAGCUUGGGUUCAGAUGGGAAGAUUUUUGAAUGGAGCUUGCAAAACCAAGGUCAUGUUCUUUGGUCAAGGAAUUGUAGCAGGUUUUGUGACCCUGAGACCUCAAAAUAUUAUAGACAUGAAAUGGGUUUGGAUGCAAAUGGAAGGAGACUAUUGGUAACAUCUGGUGCAGUACGAGCACCCAUAUAUCCCCGGACCUGAU
RNAcentral lists this unclassified non-coding RNA (494 nucleotides) under Hevea brasiliensis (rubber tree). Lineage: Eukaryota; Viridiplantae; Streptophyta; Magnoliopsida; Malpighiales; Euphorbiaceae. The record is from RNAcentral.